RNAcentral lists this ribosomal RNA (879 nucleotides) under uncultured organism. Its description in RNAcentral is "SSU rRNA". It matches the Rfam family "Bacterial small subunit ribosomal RNA", at positions 39 to 909 of the family's 1533-position model. The record is from RNAcentral.
GCUACAGGCUUAACACAUGCAAGUCGAGGGGCAGCAUGGUCUUAGCUUGCUAAGGCCGAUGGCGACCGGCGCACGGGUGAGUAACACGUAUCCAACCUGCCGUCUACUCUUGGACAGCCUUCUGAAAGGAAGAUUAAUACAAGAUGGCAUCAUGAGUCCGCAUGUUCACAUGAUUAAAGGUAUUCCGGUAGACGAUGGGGAUGCGUUCCAUUAGAUAGUAGGCGGGGUAACGGCCCACCUAGUCUUCGAUGGAUAGGGGUUCUGAGAGGAAGGUCCCCCACAUUGGAACUGAGACACGGUCCAAACUCCUACGGGAGGCAGCAGUGAGGAAUAUUGGUCAAUGGGCGAGAGCCUGAACCAGCCAAGUAGCGUGAAGGAUGACUGCCCUAUGGGUUGUAAACUUCUUUUAUAAAGGAAUAAAGUCGGGUAUGGAUACCCGUUUGCAUGUACUUUAUGAAUAAGGAUCGGCUAACUCCGUGCCAGCAGCCGCGGUAAUACGGAGGAUCCGAGCGUUAUCCGGAUUUAUUGGGUUUAAAGGGAGCGUAGAUGGAUGUUUAAGUCAGUUGUGAAAGUUUGCGGCUCAACCGUAAAAUUGCAGUUGAUACUGGAUAUCUUGAGUGCAGUUGAGGCAGGCGGAAUUCGUGGUGUAGCGGUGAAAUGCUUAGAUAUCACGAAGAACUCCGAUUGCGAAGGCAGCCUGCUAAGCUGCAACUGACAUUGAGGCUCGAAAGUGUGGGUAUCAAACAGGAUUAGAUACCCUGGUAGUCCACACGGUAAACGAUGAAUACUCGCUGUUUGCGAUAUACUGCAAGCGGCCAAGCGAAAGCGUUAAGUAUUCCACCUGGGGAGUACGCCCGGCAACGGUGAAACUCAAAGGAA